GUCCCCAUCGUCUAGUCGGCCUAGGACUCCGCCCUUUCACGGCGGCAACAGGGGUUCGAAUCCCCUUGGGGAUGCCA
RNAcentral lists this transfer RNA (77 nucleotides) under SAR324 cluster bacterium. RNAcentral describes it as "tRNA-Glu". It matches the Rfam family "tRNA". Rfam says of the family: Transfer RNA (tRNA) molecules are approximately 80 nucleotides in length. Their secondary structure includes four short double-helical elements and three loops (D, anti-codon, and T loops). The record is from RNAcentral. Lineage: Bacteria; Deltaproteobacteria.